RNAcentral lists this long non-coding RNA (2298 nucleotides) under Helianthus annuus (common sunflower). Lineage: Eukaryota; Viridiplantae; Streptophyta; Magnoliopsida; Asterales; Asteraceae. The record is from RNAcentral.
CAACCCUAAAGAAACAUAGUUGAAGAAACCAUAGAUCGGCCGCCCAAGAAACAUAGCUAAUAUUGUGUCCUUCCGUUCUUCGCCAAUUGAUAAAAGGAAUCUUCACACCCCACACGUAUUUCCUAAACCCUAGCUAUCAAAAUCAUCUUCCUUCUUCUUGAUUAUUCUGCGAUCCAUAUGCAAUCAGAUGGUGAUGGUGGUGGCCUAAAGAGAACGAUGACAGCGGCAUGGGUUGAUUUAGGGUUUCCCCAAUGGUGGUCUUAUAAUGGUUUUGGUUUAACGCAACGAUGAAAGGGCGGCGGCUAGGGUUCCACCAGCACAUAAAUUGGUAUCUUUCGAUUUUAUUUUUAAACUUCUUAUUCAGAUUUUAUUUUUGUUUUUUAUUUGUUUUUGGUAAACUAUUUAUUUUUCAAGUUUUUGUUAUCGGGUAAGUUGAAUUGUAUAUAUAUUUAUAACGUUUUCUCAAAUUACUCAAUUGGUUCUUUGGGAUAUGGCGUUGAAUUUCAAACGGUGAGAGAAAGAUCCGUUCUUUUCUGCUGCAGAAGAAGUCCAGGAAUCUACCUGCAGUAUGGAAUCUACAUUACAGAACAUUGAUUCUUGCAUUGAAUGAACCUUAUGUUUGGAAGACAGAAGAACUUCGAAGGGAUUUACAAAUCGCCCUCGGCACCGCUAAAUGGCAGUUUGCUUUCUCAGAUUGUAUAUUUAAAGGCCACUUUAGCACGGAAGGAAGGGGAACAUUAAAGUGUUCAGGAUCAGAGGAAGUUAAUAGGAGAAAAAGGAAACAAUGAGUAAUGGCAGUGAUGCUUCAUUUGGCUACCCUGGAUGCCUAAUACUAUACAAGACUUUCAACAUUGGGAUAGAUUUGGACAGCCGUGUAACAAGCUUCCAAGGAAAACGAUGAAGCACCGAAUCAACCCGAGGAAGCAAUGAAUAUUGAGGUGGAUGAUUCUGUUGUAAAGCAAGAGGAAGAAGAACGUGAGUCAGCCGAGGUUGCAAUGAAAGAGGGUGAUGCAUCUUGUGAGGUUGAAGAUGCAAGGGGGUCUAUCAAUGAUGAGAAGAAUGGUGGUGAUGAUCCACUGGUGUUAUCUGAUUUGUCAACUGCUGACGUGCCAGUGAUGCCAAAAAAAUAUAUAAAUUAUAAUGGAUGUAUCAAGUUUGAAAAGUUAUAUGAACCAAGGGGUUUUUUUUCAAAAAUGAAAUCACAAAGGACAAAUUUUUGUAUAGUGCGUGCAAAUUGGGUUGACAAUCUAAUUCAGUUUUCAUCUUAUAACAUACCUUGUGCUUAAGUAAUAUUUGGCAUCUUAUAUAGUUUGUAAAUAUAAAAUGCAGGUUUACGGGGCGUUCCAUUAUCUUGGAGAGAUUCUAUCCCUAGGGAUGUUACGGUCCCGUUUUGAGUCGUUACCUGGAGCAUUUAAUGGUUGCUUGAUUCCACCGAGAAAAGUGAUCCAGUGAAAAAGAAAGGACUUAAGGCUACCUAGUCUCGUAAUUACGAUGCAAUUUCUUAUUCCAAAGUAUGCAUAACCCCAGUUUGAAAUGUAGUCUUCUUUGUCUCAAAGUAUGCAUAACCCCAGUUUGUCCAAUAAUGUGGAAUUGUCAUUCUUCAUCAUCUGGCCAUGACUAUCUCAACUGGAAAUUUAAUGAAUGGACAUGAGGUUAAUAGCUGAAUUAAGUUAUGUACGGACAAGAGAAAGUUUGGAGGACCUUUCAAGCCAUCGGUGACAAUGCUUUUGCUUAUGCUUAUUCUACUGUUCUUAUUGAGAUCCAGGGGGUGUAAUAUUCAAACUACCUUACUUGUGUUAGAAGAUGGUCAAGAGCGAUUCACAAGCCUUUAGUCCAAGUGGUAACAAACAUGUAUAAUUCCCAAGUUGUAUACAUAACCAAUAUUUGUGUUUUCCUUGAUGUUUUUGUACACGGCUUAUAAAGAACUUUGUGACUAUUUUAUGUAAUGUCACUUUAUUUGCAUUACUUUUAUCGAUACACUUAUGAUUAAUGUAAUUUAAAUUUUCCUACCCGGGUUUUUGCCCGAGGAAUAACCUAGUUUAGUAUAUAGAUAAAACAAGGGAAUAUGUCACAUAAUAGUAACCAAGUUUCAAAAGUGUUCUAAUUAGGUCACUCGGAUCGUUUUUGUCCCAAUUAGAUAACUUAACAUUCAAAUCGAGUCAUGUCCUUUUUUCUAUGUGUCAAGAAAAAAAAUGAAGAAUAAGAUGUCGGGAUCAGAUUAUUCUAAUAUAUGAAAUUAUAUUUAUUAAAAAUUAAAACACUUUAAUUACAUUAAAAAUUAAAAAAAUAAGUUACAAU